Long non-coding RNA from Cavia porcellus (domestic guinea pig), 22934 nucleotides. RefSeq lists it as uncharacterized. The record is from RefSeq and is a predicted model, not a curated record. The transcript has 2 exons. Lineage: Eukaryota; Metazoa; Chordata; Mammalia; Rodentia; Caviidae.
UGAAAACACAUAGUGAGUGCUGGAGACUACAGAGCCCUCCAUAGAGAAGAGCACCAGUGGAUCAGAACAGCGGAUGCAGCAAACCGCAGUUUUGGGCGAUGUUUCAAAGCUUCCCUCAGGCACUGGGAAUCACCUGGCCCACUUUUGGCUCCUGGAGAAGAUGGCAGGCAACUGCUGGCUGCUUGGAGUUCACGGGGAGUGGGUCAGUUAGGCCCAUGAGGACUCCUGUGUGUUCUCCUUUGAUUUGAGACAUGGGACAUGGUCUAAUCACCUGAGAGCGAUGUUCCAAGGUUUCCCUGUGUGCUGGGAUUUAACCCAUGCACCUUCAGCUCCUGGGAAUGAAUUCAGGCCCCUGCUAGCUGCUUGGUGAUCCCUGGGCAUAGCACAGUUAGGCCUGCAAGGACCUCCUGUAUGUCCUCUGGGGAUUUCAGAUGUGGGGCCUGGUCUUAUCAUCUGGGUGCAAAGUUCUGAGUCUUCCCUAUGUGCUGGGAUUCAAUCUGUGCAUGUUCAGGGCCCGAGACUCAAUUCCAGUCCUUGCCAUCCACUUGCAGUUCACUGGGCAUGGGCCAGUUAGGGCCCGUGCAUCCUCUGGUGAUUUCAGAUGUGGUAUAUGGUCUUCCUGCCUGAGAGUGAUAUUCCCAGGCUUCCCUGUGUGCUGGAGUUCAACUCAUGUAUGCUCAGGACCCAGAUACCCCCUGUCUUCUACAACAAUUUCACAAAGUUUGUAUGAUGCUACUUUGUUCUCCAGCCUUGCUUCUAAUUUCUUCAUCUUCUCCUCCUGCUUUUUCUUCUUUCUCUAUUUUCUCGCAAUCCCUUUUAAAUUUUCCUCCUGAUGGAAAAAUUGAUAUACUGACUAUAUAGUUGCUUAUUUACUGAGUGCAAUUUUCUGGUUCAUUUUAAAUUUUUUUAUACAACCACAAAUCUAAUUCAUAUGGUUAAAUGUGGCAAAUUAAUAGUUACCUCAAUUUACAAUCUGUGUUUGAUGAUAUUGUUAUUGCUGAUUGUAUCACUUUAACUAAAGUGAUGUAGUUGUUCUAAUCAGUUGUUCUUCCUGGUAUACUAAGACUGAGAUUGCUUAAGGAUCAUAAAAAAUACGUUAGGCUAGUACCAAAGAAUCAGAGGCUGGGCCAAGUAGGCAGCAACUUCUCAUUCCCAAUAAAUUAAAGAGAUAGGAUCUUGAAAUAGAUUCUAAACCCAAAAGUCAGCAACACCUGGAAGAUACCUCUGAGAAGUAGUCAUUUUGUAAAGUCUAUAAAUACUAGCAAUAAAGUUACUCACUAGAGGCAAAUUUGUAAGCAUCAAGCCAUGAAUUAACUAAAAAAAUUUACAGAAUGAGAAGACAUUUAAAUAAGAUGCAACCCUAGAUUUCCAGUUCACCAAAGGCAAAACCAAGGGACAAUGAGGACAGGUAGUUUGAAAGCCACUCACCUGGACUCUCUAAAGUGGUAAUAGAAGAAGUUACUAAGCAGAUGAAAAAGAUUUUAGAAAAAAUGAAAUCAGAAAUAAUUUCUCAGAUAAUUACUGUGAUGGUGACCAUAAUGAAAGACACGUUUUAUAACUCUAAAGCAGACACAGAUUAAAGAGAGAGAGAGAGAGAGAGAGAGAGAGAGAGAGAGAGAGAGAGAGAAGCUUAGGAAAAUGAUGGAAAGCAUGCAUGCCCAACAUAGGACAGCAGCGGAAUUCAUAACAUAGAUUUAAACAGAUAUCCAGGAGAUUAAAAAUUGCAUUGAAAAUACCCACAGCAGAAUGAGCCAAUGGAAGAUAGAAUCUCAUAUAUAGAAUACAGGAUUGCAGUUAGUGAUCAUGAAAAGAAAGAUGCCCUAAACAUAGCAAAGAGCCAUGAGAAAUCAAUCUAGCAACUGCUAGAUUAUGCAAAGAAGAAUAACAUAAGAUUGAUUCAAGUCACUGAAAAAGCAGGAGAUAGCACAAAUGACAUACAAAAAAAUCUGUUCACAGAUAUCAUGGCAAAAAACUUCCCUGGCAGGGUAAAAGAAUUUGAUGUACAGAUAAAUGAAGCAUACAGAACUUUAGUUACCCAUGAUCAAAAAUAAAUCUAUAGCCAGGUUGGAUUCUAGAAAUCCAACACAAGAACAGAAUAUUAAAAGCUGUUAGAGAAAAUAAGCAAAUCAUCUAAAAAGAAAACCGCUCAGAAUCAUGGCAGAUUUCUAAAUACAAACCCUCAAGUCAAGGAAAGCUUGGAGUAAAAUAUUUCAAGCUAUAAAGGAAAACAGUCUCUAACCCAGACUGACGUAUGCCACACCUUUCAAAAUUGAUGGAGAAAUCCAAUACUUCCAUGACAAAGAAGAUUAAUUAAUGAACACCAAACCAGCACUCUGAAAUGUGCUGAAGGACAUUCUAGAAAGGGAGAAGCAGGACUACAACUACAUGAACACCCAACAGAAUUAAUUCACCAGACAAGGCAACUAAUUAAGCAGAGGGAGAAAAAGGAAGCCAACAAGGGGAAAAUAACAUGACAAGGACAAGUUGAUACAUAUCCUGUAUAUCCAUGAAUAUUAAUGGACUGAAUACACCAAUCAAAAGAAGGAAACUGGUAGAAUGGAUCAGGAAGGAAGAUCCAGCAAUAUGUUACAUACAAGAAACACAUUUAAUUGAAAAAAAUCCACAGAAUGAAAGUCAGGGGAUGGAAAACAGCACUCCAUGCAACACGAACCCAGAAAAAAGCAGGGGUAACUAUUCUAUUUGCAGAUAAAGUGGAUUUCAAGUCAAGACUGAUUCAAAGAAUGUCACUAUAUCCUUGCAAAAGGAGCAAUACAAAAGGAAGAGAUAACAGUUAUAAAUAUACAUGCAACAAACUGCAAUACACCAAACUAUAUAAAACAAAUUUUAAUGGACAUGAAAAAUCAAAUAAAAAGUAAUACAAUUGUAAUGGAGGGCCUUAAUACCCCACUGUCACAAAGAGACCAACUAGAAAAAAAAAUAAUGAUAUAUUAGAACUGCCCCAAAUUUCUGACAAAUGUACUUAGUAGAGGUUUACAUAGUAUUCUACCCUACAGUGUCACAAUAAACAUUCUUCUUACAUGCACACAGGACAUUCUCCAAAUACACUACAAACUAGAUCAUAGGACAUACCUAAAUAAAUGCAAAGGAGCUGAAAUUAUUCCAUGCAUAUUAUCAGAUCAUAGUGCAAUGAAAUUGGAAAUCAAAGGCAAAGGAAACCAUGACAAUGUUAUAAACACAAGAAGAUUAAGUAAUACCCUUUUGAACAACUAAUAAGUCACAGAUGAAAUUAAAGAAAAAAUUAGACAGUUUUUUUACAAUUAAUAAUGCCUAUGAAACAUAACAGAAUUUAUGGGGCACAAUGAAGUAAUUCUACAAGUGAAAUUUGUAGUGGUAAAUACUAAUACCAGGAAAACAGAGCAAUCUCAAAUAACUUAAUGUUGAACCUCAAGCUUCUAGAAAAAAAAAAAGAGGCAGACCAUGUAGGAAAAUAGAAGCCAGUUCACUUUUCCCAUCAGUUAGCAGAGCCCAUGCUGGGUUUGAGACCAGCACAUCAAGAAACUAGUUUGAGCUUCCCACAAGCCCUGCAGAUCAGGGAGGGCCCAGGAAGACAAAAGCCACAUUGCCUUAUCUGUGAGCCAAAUGGUAUAUGGUCUGAAUAUCAAGAUCCUCCGCUCCCAUAAGUAACUGACUGGUUCAGAGCACAGGCUGAGUUGAUAGCAACCGAGGCAUAAAAACAACUAAAUGCUUUUGUUGUUUGAUUGAUUUUGAAGGACUGAGCAUCUAUUGGGAGGGAAAUAGUAUACAAUAUUGCAAAAAUGGGGAAUUUUCUUCCAUCAUGUAUUUUAAAUCCAAAUAUUGUUCUGUUUUGAUUUGUUCCAAUUAAUUGUUUUGUUUUAUUUGAUGCUCUAUUUUGGUUGGUUUCGUUGCUUUUUUAAAAAUUUGAUUUUUCUAUGGGAAUGGAAACUGUUGUGAAGUUUACAAGAUAUAUUAUAGUAGCCAUUUUUAUGACCUAUUGUGCUGUGUUGAAGUUCUGUACCACUUUCACUGCUUUGUUUUGAUUUGCUUUAUUCUGCUUUGUGUUUUGGGGUUUUAUUUUCUUUACAAUAAAAAGAAAAAGAAAAGAAGCAAGGCAAGCCUAAAAUUUGUAACAAGGAGGAAAUUAUUAUGGUUAGAGCAGAAAUCAGUGCGCUGAAGACUAAGAAAACAAUAUAAAGAAUGAAUUGAGAAGCUGCUUCGUUUAAAGAUUAAAUAAAAUUGACAAAUCUUUAGCCAACCUUAUCAAGAAAAAAGGAAAAGACGAAAAUUUGUGUCAUUAGGAAUGAAAAGGAUGAAAUCACCUGCAAAAAUCCAGAAGGCUGUCUCUACAUACUUUGAUAAUUUGUAUUCUGAUAAGAUAGAUACUGCAGAAGAAAUGGACAGAUUCUUGGAUACUAAUGAAUUAGUAAAGCUGGAUCAAGAUGAUAUAAAAAUAUCAGUAAACUGGGAUUCAUUGAGAACAUGGUGGAUAGAUAACAACAACUAUGGACGCUCUCUGAGUUAGCCAGCUUAGAAUCUAGCAAUGGUGCGGUGUGGGGAGUCCUAAGCAGGAGUGAUACUCCCUGCCGACUCAGGAACGAACUAAGCUGAGAGAAACCAACUGAAAAUGCAAUCCUGGUGCUACGACUGGAACAGAUAAAGUCUCAGCACAGAAGCUGGAACCCACGCCUCUGCAAACUGCAAUUUGAAUUUCCUGCCACCACUGCUGCAUCUGAAUCGGCAUAGCAGAGAUAGAGAUGGAAAGCUCUGAGAGCAGGAAUCGGUGAACUGAAUUGAGAGCAGAACUGGCGGGGAGUCCUGCUUCGACCUGCGGUGAGUGAGAGGAAUGGGGACCCGUCCAUAGAGUAGGAGGCUCCAACAGAGGACAUACUGGGACUGGGCAAACUAGCCGAAACAGGACACUACAAUGACUUCAGUCACAUAUUCCCCUCUCAAGCGAGACUGGUGGGGAGUGCUUGACCUGGGUGAUGCUGCGGACUAAGAGCCAGUAGGCUAGCCCAAACCAGGUCCCUGCAUCUGGUGGUGCACCCUAGCAGUGAAGUCUUCAGUAGGUUGACCUGAAGGGGUGGGCCCAGCAUAGGCUGCCCAGGUCUGUGUCUCUCUAGUACACUGCAAUGUACUAGGUGGGAACACCUAGCCAGCACAAUUCAAACAAAUUGAAACCCACAAAGAAAGAAACUGGGCCUCCUAUAUAUGCCUGUAUGGAAGGAACAAAAAAUAUGAGAAGAGGAGGCAACAAGAAAAGGUCCUCGGUCCCCAAUCCUGAGAACACUGAUCCAGGAAAGGUAAAUGCAAAGGAGAAUGAGGACAGAAAACAUGCAAUAUCAGACACGGCACUAAUAGACAUAAAGCAAUAUCUCCGGAGCCUCAUAGACGAGUUCAAAAGUGAAGUAUUUAAUGAAGUAAAGCAAGAUAUAAGUAGAAUAGUUAAAGAAAUGCUAAGCACCUCCCAAGAAAAAACAGAUAGUGGAAUGGAAGAACAGAAAAAAAAGGGAGAAUUGUUUGAUGGAGAAAAUAGAGAAAACAUAGAAUACAUGAAGCAGGUUUAAAGAGACUACCAGGAAACUAAAAACUCUGUUGAAAGCUGGCAUAACAGCUUGAAAGAAACUCAGGAUAGAUUAUGUGAACUGGAGGACAGAUUUGUAAUGUGGGAGCAUGAAAGGAGAAACUUCUUAAAAAAUAUAAAUAAACCAGUAUCAGUCAAUGAAUUGAAGAUGUAAUUAAGAACUUUCCAACAAAGGAAAACCCAGGCCUUGACGGAUUCACUGCUAAGUUCUACAAGAAAUGUAGAGAAGAUCUAAUGCUGCUACUUCUCAGACUCUUUAAUAAAAUUGAAAGGGAAGCAAUACUACCAAAUUCAUUCUUGGAAACAAGCACCACCCUGGUACCAAAACCAGAGAAGGACUCAACCAAGAAAGAGAACUACUACAGGCCAAUCUCCCUAGUGAGCAUAGAUGCAAAAAUCUUCAAUAGGAUAUUGACAAACAGAAAGCAGCAUUUCACUGAGAAGUGUACAUAUUAUAACCAACUAGCAUCCUUCCCAGGGAUGGAUGGUUCAACAUACACAAAUCAAUAAAAAUAAUACACCAUAUUAGGAGAAACAAGGAUAAAAACUAUAUGGUCAUCUCAAUAGAUGCAGAAAAAGCAUUUGACAAAGUCCAUCACAAACUCAUGAUAAAAAUCCUACAGAAAAUUGGAACCGGUGAUUUUUAUCUCAAUCUGAUAAAAGCCAUCUAUGACAAAUCAAUGGUCAACAUUAUACUAAAUGAUCAAAAACUGAAAUCUUUCACUCUAAAAUCAGGAACAAGUUAAGAAUGCCCACUUUUGUCACUUCAAUUCAAUAUAGUUCUGGAAAUACAGCUAAGCAAAUUCAAAAAGAGAAAGAAAUAAAAGGAAUAAGGAUAAGAAAAGAAGAAUUUAAACUGACAUUAUUUGAGGACAGCAUGGUAUUCUACAUUGAAGAUAUCAAAAACUCCAUCAAAAGACCUUUAGAUUUAAAUAUCAAAGUCACUCAUGUAGCUGGAUAUGUCAAGACUUAAAAAUCAAUAGCUUUCCUGAAAAAGAAAAAGCAUGGAAUAAUUAACUCAUGAAUAACACUCACUGACAGAGAAAUUAGGGAAACAACAACUUUCACAACACAUUCAAAAAAUUGAAAUAUCUAGGCAUCAAUCUCUAUACUGAAAAGUACAAUACUUUGAAAAAGAGUACCGCAGAGACUAUCAGAAAAUUAAAAAAUAUCCCUGACUCUUGGGUAGAAAGAAUUAAUAUAGUGAAAACGAUCAUACUUCCAAAAUUGUUAUGCAGAUUUAAUGUAAUCUCAAUCAAAAUUCCAAAAGCGUAUCUUACAGAAUUAGACAAAAUAAUCCUAAAAUUAAUUUGGAAACAUAAAAGACCUAGUAUAGUGAAGACAACUCUGGGCAACAAAGACAACACAAGAUGCAUCACGAUUCUUGGCUUCAAAUAAUAAUACAAAGCUACUGUGAUAAAACUAGCAUGAUAUUGGCAGAAAAAAAAAAGCCUAAGGAUCAAUGGAACAGAUUAGAAGACACAGAAACAACUCUAGAUACUUAGCCACCUUAUCUUUGACAAAGGUGUCAAACAUGUUCAGUGGAUGAAAAAUAGCACAUUUAAUAAAUGGUGCUGGAAAAACUGGUGCUCCAAAUGUCAAAGAUUGUAAAUAGACUCAUAUUUUUCAUCAUGUACAAAACUAAAAUUCGUAUGGGUCAAAGAUCUAAAUAUUAAAACAGAAACACUAAAUCUGCUGGGAGAUAGAAUAGGUAUAGUUCUUGAAGGUGCUGCUGUAAGCAAAGAGUUUACGAGCAAAACCCCAACUGCAUAGUUACUAUUACAAACCAUCAAUAACUGGUAUUUCAUCUCCUUACAAAGCUUUUGCACAGCAAGAGAAACUGAUAACAGAGUAAAGAGAAAUCACAAUGUAGGAAAAAUGUUUUUCCUGCUAUUCCUCAGAUGAAGGCCUAAAAUCUAGAAUCAGUAAAGAACUCAAACAACCCCCCCCCCAUACUUAAGGCCAAAUCAGAAAAAGGUCACCUAAAAUGAAUAGAACCUUCUUAGAUGAAGACAUAGAAACAGCAAAUAAAUGUAUGAAAAAAAGUUCAGCAUAUUGGUAAUUCAAGAAACGAAAAUAAUACAACACUAAGAUUUCAUCGUAUCCUAGAAAGAAUGAUGGCUAUCAAGAAAUCAACCAAUAACAGAUGCUGGAUGGGGUUAUGGAGAAAAACAAACACAUUUCCACUCAGUGGGAGUAUAGACUGGUGCUACCACUGUGGAAAUAAAUACAGAGACUCCUCAAAAACUAGGACUAAAGAUUCCAUUUAAUCCAGGUAUCCCUCUUCUUGGUAUCUGUUGUAAUCAAGUUUUGCAAGAACAAGACAAUUCAGGACACAUAAUUUGUAGUAUUAUUUUAUGAUAUCACCUGAAGAGUCAAAUACAAAGAAAGUGCAGGAAAUCUGUCCACACACUAAAGACCGAGAGAGUCCAUCCCAAGGACUGGAUCUCAUGGCAAUGUCCUGCAUAAGUUCAGCUGAAGACCUAGAGCCCAUGACAUUGCAGAUCACAAGUCCCCUGACAUCCUAGAGCCCAUGACAAUGACUCACACAAGUAUGUUUUAUGGAUCUGUGCUGGGAAGGGCCAAAGGUCAGUACAGGGUAAAGGAUCUGUGUCAGUAGGCUGAAGGAUCUGCAUUGGAGCCAGGAUGUGACAUUCAAAGGACCAGAGCUCCCUUGGAAAGUACCACAGCCAUGCUCAGCAACAGUGAGGUCCCAAGCUGAUGACGAGAACAACUGAGUUCAUAUCAGGAAGCCGACAUGACAAGCUUCUCUAGAAGACUGAACAGCACACUUUUUCCCCUCCAGAGCCAGGAAACAAUGCUCAAAGGAAUAGAGCUCCCUCAAAGUGAACCACACUUAUUCUCAGCAACAAGGUUCCAAACUCUUUUGAUGAUGAAAACUGCCAACUUCAUAUCAGAAAAGCAGCCCAACAUACUCCUCCAGGAGAACUAACAACACUGCACUCUUCCUCUCCAGGUCUCCUUCUUAUCUUGGCAAUUGUCUUCAACUGGGUCAUCUGUGCUCAGCACCAUGCUGAUUCAGUUCAGCUGGUGCUACAUGUUGAUCACCAGUUAUCAAUCCACCAUGGUAUCUUCCCAAAAAUAUUAAAAGCAUCAUGCCACAGUAAUAUAUGUACAUCCGUGUUUAUAGCAGUACAGUUUGUAAUAAUUAAAUCUUGGAAUCAACCCAAAUAUGCAUCAACCAAUGAUAAGAUCUUCAACAAAUAUUACUGAAACAAUUGGAUGUCUGUAACAUGACCAAAAAUUAAUAUCAAUCUAUACUUUAUGUCUUCUACAAAUAUUAACUCAAAAAUAUAUCACAGAGAUAAAUGCCAAACUAAAAAGCAUAUAAGAAAAUAUGGGAUGAACUUUUCAUACUCUUAAAGCUAUACAAAAGAUUUUUAAAUUUGACACUAAAAUCAUGCUCCAUGAAAGAAAAAUUGAUAAGUUGAAUUCAUCAAAACUAAAACCUUUUGCUUUCUGUAAAAUACUGAGAGAAAUAAAGAAAAAAAAAAACAAGCUACAAACUAACAUCUGACAAAGAAUUAUCUAAACAACUGAAAGAAUAUAAAGUGCCAGAACCCAAUUAAAAAUGGAGCAAAGUUUUGAAAAAGACACUUUCCUACAGGAGAUUUAGAGCUGACAAAUAUGAACAUGAGAAGAUGCAGAGCAUGUUGAUGAAAACACCAACAGAACAUACACACUGUUAAUGAUAAGCACCCUUUUGUGUGGUCCUGAAAAUAAAGCUGAGAAGCUAGAAACUGCAUGCCUUGCUGGUGUGAAUGGAGAACAGAGGAAGCAUCCUGCAAAUUGGUUGGCAUUUUCUUAUGCAGAUAAAUACACCGUGUGUGAUGUAGCAAUACUACUCCCAGCUAUUUUUGUCAGCAAUAUGAAAUUUUACAUUCAUAUAAAAUCCUGUGUGUUAACCUUUAUAAAAGGAUUCUUCAUAACUACCUUAAACUGGAGAUGAUUUUAAUAAUCUUUGACUAAUAACUGGUUAACAUGAGCAUUAUACAACUCAAGAAUAAAAAGAAAUUACACGUGAAGCAACACUUAUGUACAUCAAAAACAUGUAAAGGAAGUCAGUAAAAGGUUACACAGUGUAAGGUUCUAUUUGAAUAUCAUUUCAUAAAAGGCAAAUCUGUAGGGAUGGAAAGUAAAUUAGUGUUUUUUAACAUCUAGGAUCCAGGAGUGACUUUAAAAGUAUUUUAUAUUUUAAUUUUAUUUUGCAAAUGGUUAGUAAAAAAAGGAGUUUUGGGGAUGAGAGUAUGUUUUGUAACCAGAUUGUAGAAGUGGUCAGACAAUUCUAUAUAUUACUUAAAACUCAUAGAGGUUUAUGUCAAAAAUACAAAGAAAAUUUUAUUGUAUGUAAAUUGAGAAAAAGCCCAGUAAUAGCUGAUAUAUAGUGAUUGCUAUGGUUUGCAUGUAGUUGUUAUUUUGGAACUCAUUCAGGCAUUUAAUCCUUAAAGUCUUACAUUAAUGAUAUUAGGAGGGUAGAAAAUUAGUUACACUCCAAUAUUAAACAUAGGACUUUGGGAAUGAUUAGAUGAGGUAAGAACAUUAUGUUGGAACUUCCAUGAUUGAAUUCUAAUGGCCCAGGACCAAAGUUCCACUUCUGGAAUUAGCCAUUGCAGGUUGAAUUUUCUGCAAAGAUGCUAAGAGAGUUUAGAUUACAAGAUAUGUGUCACGGAAUAUAAGGAGGUCCAAAAUGGUAGGGCCCUUAUAUGCCCAAAUAUCUUAUGUGUACAUACAGCUUGCAUCAGAAAGACUGAUCUCAAGUGAGGUGACUUUCUGGUGACUGUUCUUUCAAAAAAGAAACAGCAUUCCAAGUUGAAAAGUAAAACCAUGGUGGCACAGUAAAUCACAAUUUGCAGGUAACUAAGAAUUUCUGUGUAGCUAAAGCUUAAAGGACUGUGUAUACAGAAUUAAAGAGCUUGGAAUUUUGAUAAUUUGCUCUUUGUUGAGUGAUUUCUACAUGACUUGUAUGUUAUACACAUUAUUAUAUUUUAUCUGUAAGAUUUUCCAAGAUAGCAUUAUCAACAAUUUACACAUCAAGAACGAGGCUCAAAGAGUCUAAGUAAUGUAGAAGAUCAUACAUUUAAUGCUGGAUGAUGGAAAUUAUUAUUAUUCAAUAAUGAAAUUCCCAAAUUUAAGCUUGGCUUUACCUUCCAUUUUUUAUAAAGAACACAUUCUUUAUCUGAGAGGGGAGGAUGAACAUCAAAUGAUUUAAUGUUCAUUGUAGAUAGAUAAUUAUAUGGGAGAAAUAUGAAAGUGGACAUGCUGGUAGGUAAGUUUCUGUGGAAGGUUGUCAGAGAAGCUGGUGUGAGAGAUGCUGGUGUCUGGUCUGGUCAAUGAAAGUGAGAAUGAGAAGAAGUUGAGAAGACAUGUUAAAUUAUCAAGACAUUGAGAAUGAAUGAAAAUAGAGGUUGUAGACAAUGAGGAAUGAUAAGAACUCCAGGAUUAUAUUUGGGGCUACAUUGUGAUUCAUGCCACUAACAGCAACUAUACUUACAAAAUAAUUAAUUGUGUAAGUAUGUAUCUCCUCCAUCAGAAUGUGGUCUGAGGCUAUUGAUUACUUCCUCAAUGUAGCACUUAACAUAGUACCUGGCAUAAUUGGUUUGUAAAUCAGAAUGGCUUUUACUGAAAAUAAUCUAAGCAUGGCCAUAGUACCAUGAUAUUAUCAGUUGUGUCAAUAUUAUUCAGAAUAAUGAUCUUAUUAGAGAAUAUAAACUUUUUAUAAUACGUCAUCAUAAUUUCAUUUUGCAAAUCUGUUAUUUCUCUUGAGUAUUUCUAUACUUACCUUUCCCCCUAGAACUUCAGCUGAAACUCAUCCUAAAAGUCCACUUUUGAAAAAAUAUCAAGUAAAAACUCAUGAAUUAAGUUUGAUGAGAAUUUUGACAUAAACUCAGUCAGGCAGUGGGUUAAACUAACGUGGCAGUAAGAUUCGGGCACUCUUAUAUACUAAAAUCUUGAUAUAAUAGUCCUUCCAGGGUCUUUUCUGUCUGUUGCCUUCUAAAUAAAUCUUUAAUGAGAUUCCUUAAAAAUUUCAGUAACUAAGCCCUCCAGCUCCAUCUGUCAUACAAUAAAUCCUAUCUUUUAGAGAGAUGUCAGUGUAUUUUUAUUAGUCAAGCAUCUAAUUUUGUACACUGAUUUAAUCCAUUCAGGCAGUUUCUGAUUUACCACAGUUUAAUUUAUGAUUUUUUGACAUUGUGAUGGUGAAAACGGAUGCCUUUGGUAGAACUCACACUUUGAAUUUUGAGUUCUGGUAUUUUCCUAAGCAUUAAUAUAUGUUUUGAUAAUCUCUCUUGAUACUGAGCAGUGUCAGCAAACCACAGCUCCCAGCCAGCCAGGCAAUCCUGAGGGCAAACCACUGCAGUUCUGCGUAUGCUAAACUGUGAUGCUUGGUAGGUUAGGUGCGGUAAGUGUAUUUCUGACUUAUGAUGUUUUCAGCUAAGAGGCGGUUUUAUAUAGCCAACUUUCUGUUGCUAGGAGAAAUGUCUCACUACUUGUUUUAUUUUGGUUUAUGAUUUCAGAAGUUUUAUCUCAUGCUUGGCUGGCUCCAGCACAGUAGUAUCAUGGAGAAAAGGGUAAGGUAGAGAAAAGAAGCUCCCUUCAUGGAACCCAGAAAACAGAAAAGAAACAACCGUAGUGAGGAAGGAGUCAGGAGGAGUCACAUCCUUCAGAGAUGUGUCCUCAGUGACCUACUUCCUCCAACUGAGCCCUGCCUCUUCGUGGCUCAUUGAUCUAUGAACUCAUCCAUAGAUUCACCCAAUAGAUGAAAUUAGUGCUCUCAUACUUGAGACUUUAGGGGAUUUUUCAUAUUUAAAUCACACCAGGUUUAUUGGGACAUUCACCCCAUCAUAAGUCUAGUAGUAUCUUUACAUUCAGCAGACACCUGAAACUGUAACAAGAAAAUUUAAAAAUGAUCCACAAAUAUUGUCCACAUCAGUGCAUGUUCUUAAUAUUUCUGUUGUCUGCCAAUUUAUAUGUUGAAACCUAAUCACCAAGGUGAUGGCUUGGGAGAGUUGUUUAACUCAUGCGAGUGAAAACCAUGUGGAAGGUAGGCCCAUCUCAGUUACCCAGUCCACCAUGUGACCAUGCAGGAAGAAGUCGCUGAUACCGAGGAGUAGAUCCUCGACAGAUAGCAUUUGUCAGCACCUUCAUCUUGGACUGCCUAGACUCCAAAACUGAGAAAGACACCUCUGUUGUCUGUAAGCUACCAGGACAUUUUGUUAUAGAGCCUCAAUGGAGUAAGACAUUUGGUCAUUUACAAAUUGGAUACCACAAAGCUAGGCACAUAACUUCUCUGAACCUCAGUUCUUUUUUCAUAAAAUGAAGAAAGCAAUAUCUUGCAGGAUUGUUACCAGAAUUGUAGGUUAUCAUGUAACUGAGUUUACUUAGCCAUGAGAAUUAUCAUUAGUAGUUCUGGUAUUACUUACUUUUAAUAAUCCAAGUUCAUCAUACAGGUGUAUGACCUAAUCACAUCAGCCAUUUGAAUUUCUCUCAUUCUCCUACCUUCCAAUACCUACCAAGCAGUGGAUAACAUUCUAAUCCUAAGUAUGACUACAAAGAGGUGGUUACAACAUGUUGUUACUGUUAGACAAUCGAAAGUCAAGCUCUGACUUGACAGAGAGUUUUCUCAAAGACCUAUGAGAAAAACCUUUAGGCGUAAGUGUCUUGUGUGCUUUUACUUGCUGAAAUCUAAUGGAAGAGUUGCCAUUUGGGGAUUGCCUGCAUCAGUGCUUCCUUCCAUUAGCACAAAGAGGUGAAAGUUGACUGCAAUUAGAUGUAAUUAGCCACUGAUCUUUUUGGACAACCAGAAAAUCUGUGCUUCUCUCACCCCCCAGACAUUAAAAGAGCACUCAGGAGAGACGGAACUUUUGCACUGGAUAAUUCUGAAUCAGAGAAUACCAAAUACUUCAAAAGCAGUACUUUUACCAUGGUCAGUUCUGAAUCUCUUUUUAGCAUAUUUAUUAAUAUAUGCCAUUAUCUGUCAGAGAGAAAGAAAGAACAAAAUAUGAAAGGAUCUUGCAAAUGGCUAUAUAACACUGUGUGUAAAACACUGAAGCUAAUUGAAUUGAAUGGCUUUGAGCUCUUGGAAGUUACAAAGUGACAAGGUUUGCUUGACAGCUAGUGAGUGAUUAUUUCCCGUCCCACUGAUUAAUUUGGUCAAUUAGUGGUAAAUAGGAAUGUCACAAGUGGAAAGGGUAAUGAGAGUCAUUAUAAAUGUAAUAGUAAAAUCGAGGGCAACCUUGACACAAGAAGGGUCUGCUGUGGCUUCCUCAGACACUGAUGGGACCAGGAGUUUAUUCCCUUUCUGCUUCUCCUUCCCUGGAGACUGCACCUUAGUUCAACCAGAACUUCUGAGAAAUCAGGAGAGACCUCUGGCAGAAUUUGUAUUGGACAUACUGAAAAAAAAAUUGCACAUGGCAUUUAAAAUAUUCAUUUGCUCUUUGAAUCUUUUAAUUAUGCCCUCAAAUUAAAAGCAGCAGUUGCACAUUAGAGUAAGUCAGGUAGAUUAAAGUCCCAAAUGUGGAGCAUACGAUGUCUGCUCAAUUGGGAAUUGCUAAUUCAAGCAUUAGAACAAGUCCCCCUGGUGUUAGUUUCCUAUGGCUACUGAAAAGAUCACCUUAAAGUAGGAGGCUUAAAAUGACAGAAAUUUAUUCUCUCUCUCUCAGGUGUGGAGGCCACUAUUAUAAUAAUGUCUUCAGUUGAAAUGCACAUUUUGGCAAGGCUAGUUUCUUCUGAAGACUCUGGAGAAGAACCUGUUGUUGCCUCUUUCCUGGUUUUUGGUGGUCAGCUACAAUCCUCGACAUCUCUUUGCUUAUAGUUGUAUCGCUCUAAUCUCUGCCUCUAUCUUCACAUUUUUUCUUUUCCUUGUAUGUCUUCUCCUUUAUUUUUCCUUUAUAAGGAGAACUGUCAUUGGAGUUAGUACCUCCCAUAAUCCAGUGUGACCUUGAAAUUCUUAAUCAGAUCUGCAAAGACCCUUUAUAGAACUAGCAUCAUAUUCGUAGGUUUUGGGAAGACAAAUCUUUUAGGUGCACCACUAUUUGACAAAAUUUAUUCACUUUCCUAGUGAAUACCUUCAAAUUUGAUCAUUAUCCUAUCUGAAAGGGCUUGGGAAGACAGAGGAUUCUGUAUGUAUAAACACAGGAAUUUAUGUUAUUUACCCUCUAACUUCAACCUAUUGUGACUGCGUGUUCAAGGAACCUAUCAGACUCAUGACAGGAUCUGACAGUCAGCUCUGUCUAUGGCAACUGGCUGCUUCACGCACCCCUUUUUUCUGAUCUGCUUGUCUGCCGUAUUGACUUAGUGUUCUUACAAUAUUCUACUUGUUUUGUCUUUUGUGUCUGAAAUCUGCUUCAAUCUUGCCAUUACCAUAGGAAACAACAAGCUGCCUAGCCUUAGUAAUUCCUUGGAGACUUGGAAACAUGUCACACCCGCCCCCUCAUUCAUUACUAAGCAAUUUAGAAACAUGUGAUUGUUACUACUGACAUUCUACCUCAUAGACUUUGUUUUGAGAUGUCUGAUUUAUUCGGCUCCAUCAGAUGCUAUUGAUGUAUGCCUCCUUGGUUAACACUUUUAUUUAAAAUCUCCCUGUGCUCAGUCUUUUUAAGUAUCUCUGUCUACCUGUCUUUUUUAGUCCCUAAACAAAGACUACUUGAGCCCAUUACUAUACUAUUAUAAUAAUGUCUUCAGUUGAAAGAGGGAAAUAUACUUUUGGAAAAUGAUUUUGCUUUCUAAAUCUAUCAUUUACAUUCAUUUGCUCCACUUUACUUUGGGAUUCUUUUGGCUCGGAACAUCUCCUAACUUGUGGCUUCCCGAUGCUGCUUUAAGCUGACUCUAGUUUAAGACUAUAUUUUUACCUGGUAACAUUCCUCCUGAUGCCACAUCACACACUGUUCCUUAAAAAAUUUGUUAAUCUUCCAGUGAUCAUAAGAAAGGAAAAACAAUUUUGAAUGGAAUAAAAUCUGUCUGUAAUCUAUCCCAUUGGCUGUGUUUUCUUCCAGCUUUCCCUUAUCCAUGAUAUACUCAGACACACACUAUGAGUUUCUCACUAAGCCCCAAACACGUCACAUACUCUUGUAGGCCCUUUUUCCCUGUGUAUACUAAACGUUCUUUAUCUUCCCUUUUGACUCCCUAACAAUCCUCCAGGACCUAUUGUUUAUAGCUUCUCUUUCCAGCAUUUUCUCACACCCUCAGGGCAGAGGUAGUUUUUCCUUCCUUUCUACUAUUUCUAUGCUACUGUUCUAUAAAAUAUGAAGCUGUAUUAAUCAUUCGUAGGUGGCCAGUCAUUCAGACAUGUGCAUUGAACUCACUGUGUUCCAGGAACAGUAUACUGUAAUUUUCUGCUUAUAUUUAUCCUCACUAGUCAUUGAACCUCAUGGGGUGAAUAGUGGCCUCCCCCCAUCCUCUAGGGCCUUUCACAUUGACAAGAGACUGUCAUUGCUAACUUGAUCAGAUUAAGAGGUGCCUCACAGAUUAGUAAAGACACACUUCUGAGAGUAUCCAUAGGGGUGCUUCCACAGAUAAUUGGCCUGCGGGCCAACAGGCUAAAGGGGGAUGACCCAUCUGGGUUGGUGGGUGGCACCAUCCAAUAGCCUCAUAACCCAGAUGGAACAGAAAGUUGAGGUACGAGGAAAUCAGCAUGCACUUAAACAGCUCCAUUCUUCUUAAAUUGGCACAUCUUUUGUUACUGCCAUCCUCUGAGGAUAUCAGGUUCCAGCUUCUUUAGCCUUUCAGUAUGGACUCUCACCAGGGCCUCUCCACGGAGCAGCUGGUCUUCAGUUUUGGACUGGCCCUGCAUUCUUCUUGUUCUUGCAUCAUUCCUUUUGUUCAAAGGUCUCUUGCUUCUUGGACUAAAUAGCUGCUGGAACCUCUGGUUCUCCUGAAUGCAGAUGGCUAUCUGACCAACUGGAUUCUGAUCUUAGCUAACAAAUAAAGCCAAUCUAAAAAAUCCCCCUUCAUAUGUACAUAUAUAUUUUUACAUUGUUUUUAUUUAUUCCCUCUACAGAACUCUAAUCAAUACAGAGGUCUAAGUAAACAUUUGAUGAAUCAUGAAAGGAAUGAAUAAAUAUCAAGUGACAGGAAAAGUUCAUUGUUGCUAAAAAUCUUUUGGUCAAUACCACCACAUAGAUAUCCACAACUGAAGAGACGAAGAAAGCUCGUUCCAUCUGCUGCUUCCCCUCCCCUUCUCCCUUCAAAUCCAACUAGGUUAAGUUUUAACUUCCUAAAGGCCAUAAAACAAAGGCCUGAGGUACUAGCUCCUGACAUCCUGGGUCUUCCCUAUCUGGUAGCCCCAUCACAAAUUGUGUUAAUUGCAUCAGAUUGUAUUAGAUUGUACAUUCUUCACAGAAAUAGCUUCGUUUAUAUCAUAGUAAUACCUGUAACUGUAAAUGUGUGUCUUCCUUUUUCCCUGGGUAAAAGAUUGAUAUGUUAAUCAAUGCUCUCUUCUGUAAAGAAUUGUAAAAUCUUACCCAAUUGAUAUGUUAACCAUUGUUGCCCUCUACAAAUAGAAAGGUUGUGGUACUAAAGUAAGGUAAUUAUGUCAGGAAACUCAGAGAUAAAGUCUGCUGACUAUGCUAAUCAAGAUUGGGAAGUAUGUCAGAACCAAGCCACACAGGAGCUAGGUGACCUAAAAAUAAGCUGUGCAAAACAAGACAGUUAAUCAACUCUGACCCACUGGUCGCCCCUCAUGAUCUGACCAAUCACAAAUGGACAAAUCACCAACUGUUCUGCUCUAACUGCUAUGAUUGGCUUCUGUAACAAUGCUUGCUUGCUUUGCGGUUUUCAUCCUUAAAAACACCAGCCUUGCCCCAACUCAGGGUUCUCCGUUUCCACCUGUUUGGAGGACCCCGUGUACACGGAAUAAUAAAAACCCCAUUGUUUUUACAUGAGAGCGAGGCCCUUGGAGUCUUCCUCGCGACACCGGUCUAACAUUUUGGAGGCCCUAGCGAGAUCAAACUGAGAAGAGACCUCCUCGCAGAGGGAGACCCCAACGGCACCUCUCUGGGGUAAGUAGUACGGCCAGUUUUUGUUUACUUUCAUUUUGGAUCGAUCCGCCAUUUCCUUUCGCCCCAGGCCGAACUCCGGCUCUACUUCACGGGCAAAUUCUGUUCUUGGGUGAUCGGGGGACGCCCCACACGGUUUUCCGUGACUCACCGUCUGCGAUAGGAUUUUCCUAUCGAUCUGGGGAAUUUCAUUCCCAAUCUGUGGUCCGUCUGGGCCAAUCUGGGGAAUUUCAUUCCCAAUCUGUGGUCCGUCUGGGCCAAUCUGGGGAAUUUCAUUCCCAAUCUGUGGUCCGUCUGGGCCAAUCUGGGGAAUUUCAUUCCCAAUCUGUGGUCCGUCCAGGCCAAUCUGGAGGCACCCCCUAAGGUGACUCGUUUGAUGUGAAACUAAUGCGUGAGAGUGAGGUGGCCGGCCUGUUUGUCCUGUGUGUUGUGACUGUUGUGAUCCGUUAUUUGUUGUGUCGCGCGUACGCUAACCACUCUUUGUCUUCAGAACACCAUGGGACAAACGACAUCGUCCCCAUUGUCCCUCACCCUCGACCAUUGGUCGGAGGUUCGAGAGAGGGCUCACAAUCUCUCCUUUCAGGUUAAAAAAAGUAAAUGGCAGACUUUCUGCUCGUCUGAGUGGCCCACAUUCUCCGUGGAUUGGCCACCGGAGGGGACUUUCCACCUUCCCCUCAUCUUAGCAGUUAAGAACAUCAUCUUCCGCCCUGGACGAGAGAGCCACCCCGACUGGGUCACCUACAUCUUGGUAUGGCAGGACCUCAGGGAGGAGCCCCCACCGUGGGUAAAACCCUUCCUUCCUCCGCCCUCUCCUUGGUUGCCUGUUUAAACUUGUUACUAACUUAGGGGCUUGUUGCCCAUUUCUGUUGCAGGAUCCAUAUGGCUUAUUAGAUUCAAGGUUCAUGAUAAGAAAAAUUAUUUCCUUUAGCUGACCAAACUGUGCAAGAAGCUCCCUUCGUUUGUGUCUUUAAUGUUGUGGCGCCUUGUUUAAUAUGUAAGACUUCAAUUGAUUGCUUGCAACCUCGGCAUGCCUUUUAAAAGGAGUAUUUUUUUCUCUCUGGUGAAAAUGUAAACAUGUGCACAUAUAUAUGUAUAUCUAUGGUUGUUAAGAGUCAUGUCAACUUUGCCAAGUAAAAACCAGGCGGUACUAUAUUUGAGCCAGUUAAAAGGUUACAGUUUUGUUUUUAAAAUACAACAUUUUUAUGUGGUAAAAAGAUAUAAAAUAAGCAUGUUUUAGACUACUAAAAGGUGACUUCAAGGGUUUUGUUGAGAGUUUUGAUGUUGUCUGAGAAGUGAGAAAAAAGGUAAUUGACUGGUAAUAGUAAAAAGAGGGACAAAGAGAGUGGUCUUCAAGUAAAGGUGUCUGGCUAUGCCAGAAUGUAAAAAAAGAUUAAAGCUUAGUUUGAGAGGUAUUAUUGUAAGUUGUAGAAGGCUCAAGAGGAUGUAAAUUUUAUUUGUCUUGGUUUAUAGUACUACAAAUAACAGGUUUGACAAAAAGUAAAUGUGUUCAGAAUUUGACAGUAUUAGAUCAGUUUUGGUAAAAGUAUACAUAAGAUUGUACUUUGCUGCAAAAUGUUUUCAUUAAAAUGAGAUUAUAGGUGAUAUUAAAAAUAAGAUACAAGUUCUUACAUGUGCUGUGAACAUCUGGGAGAUUAUACAGCACAAUUUUGUUACCUAUGAAAAAGCCCUUGUUAAAAAUAUAAUUUUAAUAAAAUAAUGGCCUGUCACGUGACACCCUUGGACAAAAAAACAGUGUGCCAUCCAGAUGAAGCCGGCUCUCUGAUCCGGAAUGCCAAAACCAUGUUCUCCUUUUGUGCCACCCUGACUGGACGUCCAGAGGUAAGGAGGUUUCCCAAUAUUGCCAGUUGUUCUCUUUGUAACUCAGUCGGCCCCACAUGUUAGACAAAAAUUACAAAGGUUUGAGAGGUUUAAAAAAAUGCCCCUCAGCCAGUUAAUAGAGAUAGCACAAAAAGGUCUUUGAGAACUAAAAAAUUUACAAAAAGAUAGCCAAGGUGUUAAAAUUGCUCUAUGAGAAAAAAAACUUUUAAAAAACAGACGAGAGUUUCUGGGGGCAGUUGGAUACUGUAGGCUAAAUUUUACUGAAAAGCUUGCCUCUAUAUGACUGACUCCCAUAAGGGAGAAACUCAAAAUUCGCUGAACUGGACUGAUAAAUGUAAACAGGCCUUCCAACAGCUCAAGCGGGCCUUGACAGAGGCCCCAGCCCUGGGACUCCCUGACGUUACCAAGCCUUUCAUCUUGUUCAUAGAUAAACUCAGGGACAUUGCCAAAAGAGUCCUAACUCAGGACAUUGGCCCUUGAAAAAGGCCUAUAGCCUACCUCUCCAAAAGACUUGAUCCAGUAACAGGAGUAUGGCCCCCUGCCUAAGAAUACUAGCUACUGUGACAAUGUUACUUAAGGAGACAAAAAAACUCGCUUUGGGCAAGUGAUUUCUGUGGUAACCUCUCACAGUUUAGAGACUCUUAUCAAAACCCCUCCUAAAAAAAGGCUCUCAAAUGCCAGAAUUCUACUGUCAAGCCCUGCUUCUAGACCCAGAGUUAAUGAUAUCCAAGACUUCUUCAGCUUUAAACCCAGCCACCCUUAUGCCUGAUGAUGAUCCGGAGGAACAAAGGACACCUCUCUCCAUGAGUGCGCUGACAUCCUCGAACUGCAGCAGAACCUACAGGCUGAUCUUACUGACCAGCUUUUGGGAAAUGCCGACAACUGUUCGAUGAAAGCAGCUUCAUCCAAAACGGCAAACGAGUGGCUGGGGCAACAGUGACCGCCAAAAAGGAGGUACUCUGGGUUAAGCGGGUAGAGUCUGGCACUUCUGCCCAAAAGGCGGAGCUUGUUGCUUUGACUGAGAGGUUAAAACUAGCCACGGAAAAGAGGGUAAACAUUUUUUUUUACUGAAGACAUCCCUUUGCUACUGUACAUAUACGGGGAAGCCAUCUAAAAAUGCUCCACAGAUUCUAGAUUUGCUGGCAGCUGUCUGGCUGCCUCAAUGGGUUGCUAUUCCUCACAAGGCUCACCCAACCAGAGAUGAAAAAUAGCAACCACAUCAGAGGGGUCAACCAAAAAAGUAACUGCUCUGAUACUAGUCCUCUGACCUUGUCAGAACUAGUCUACACAAAGAAAGACCUACAGUUGGCAUCUCAACUUAGAAUAAAGUCUCCCACCCCAAGGGGCUAAUACCAGUUACCUGAUAAACAAGUACUGUUACUAGAGGCACUAGGGUGGGAGCUGUUUCACCUUGCAGAAUUGUUCAGAACUCAAUAUUUUAUUCCAAAACUCUACAAACUGACCACCUCUUCGAGCUCCAGAUGCCCACAGUGUUUGUUAGUCAACUCAGCCAAGAGCUCUGCGUUGGAGACCACCCAACAUCAAGAAAUUGUUCCAGGAGAACAUUGGGAAAUAAACUUCAUAGACAUGGUAAAACUUAAUUUACAGGGACACCGCUAUCUCUUGGUAUUAAUAAACACUUUUACUGGCUGGGUAGAGGCUUUCCCUACUAAAUCUGAGUCAGCCUUAGUGGUAGUUAAAAGGCUAUUACAUGAGAUCUUACCUUGAUUUGGCCUCCCACUAUCAAUGGGGUCCGAUAAUGGCCUGGCUUUCAUAGCCCGAGUCACCCAAAAGUUAGCCCAGGCAUUAAAGAUUAAUUAAAACUCCACUGUGCCUAUCAGCCACAAAGCUCAGGACAAGUAAAACGUAUGAACCAAAGUCUCAAGGACAUUUUAGCUAAGCUGUCUUCAAAAACUGGCAAUAAUUGGAUGAGCCUUCUUCCCUUUGCACUGUUAAGAGCUAGAUAUACCCCAUAUGUUUCCAAAAUUUCCCCCUUUAAAGCCAUGUUUGGGAGGCCCCCGCCAUUGGUUCCAAGAUUGUCAGAAGACAAAUUAGCUAAAACUACUAAUUGAGAUCUUAAGUCCCUGCAGACACUCCAACCUGUGUUGGCCUGGAUCCACCAGCUGUUUAGACAAAAACACUUGGACCUGCCUUCAAAGACCAAGGCCUCAAGGACUCCAGUCUUGGUUCGAUGUCAUCACCAUGACUCCCUCGAACCCCACUGGGAAAGACCUUUCACCGUGGUGCUCAGUACCCCCACUGCCAUCAAGGUAGCAGGAAAAACUGCGCGGAUUCACUACACUCAUGUAAAGCCACUGAAAACAGCAGACAACGAGGGACAUACUCAGUGGACUACACAACAGACUGGUAACCCUUAAAGUUAAAAAUUGACUAAAGCAUAGUUAGAUUAUGCUGGUCAUGAACUGUUUUAGCUUGCUUGUUUUGAUUUUAAUAACAUUAAUGCCGACCUUACAUGGCGGCUUUGGUCCCCCUGUAAGCAAAAAAAAACAAUUGUUAAAGAUCUUUGUAUGGGAGCCCCCUUUAAAAAAUGUAAAACGGAAUUCUCCCCUAUCUCCUUCCCUUGAUAAGACCAUUAGUGACCUUAAUCCUAAUCCUAGCCAUUGUCCCUUGCCUCAUUAACUGGAUUACCCAAUUCAUAAGGGGACAAGUCUCUCAGGUCAAAUUAAUGGUCAUACGUCACCAAUAUGAACCCCUAGCUACAACAAACCUCUAAGAUUAGAGGUCAUCCAAAAAAAAAGGGGGGGGGAAUGAAGAGACGAAGAAAGCUCGUUCCAUCUGCUGCUUCCCCUCCCCUUCUCCCUUCAAAUCCAACAAGGUUAAGUUUUAACUUCCUAAAGGCCAUAAAACAAAGGCCUGAGGUACUAGCUCCUGACAUCCUGGGUCUUCCCUAUCUGGUAGCCCCAUCACAAAUUGUGUUAAUUGCAUCAGAUUGUAUUAGAUUGUACAUUCUUCACAGAAAUAGCUUCGUUUAUAUCAUAGUAAUACCUGUAACUGUAAAUGUGUGUCUUCCUUUUUCCCUGGGUAAAAGAUUGAUAUGUUAAUCAAUGUUCUCUUCUGUAAAGAAUUGUAAAAUCUUACCCAAUUGAUAUGUUAACCAUUGUUGCCCUCUACAAAUAGAAAGGUUGUGGUGCUAAAGUAAGGUAAUUAUGUCAGGAAACUCAGAGAUAAAGUCUGCUGACUAUGCUAAUCAAGAUUGGGAAGUAUGUCAGAACCAAGCCACACAGGAGCUAGGUGACCUAAAAAUAAGCUGUGCAAAACAAGACAGUUAAUCAACUCUGACCCACUGGUCGCCCCUCAUGAUCUGACCAAUCACAAAUGGACAAAUCACCAACUGUUCUGCUCUAACUGCUAUGAUUGGCUUCUGUAACAAUGCUUGCUUGCUUUGCGGUUUUCAUCCUUAAAAACACCAGCCUUGCCCCAACUCAGGGUUCUCCGUUUCCACCUGUUUGGAGGACCCCGUGUACACGGAAUAAUAAAAACCCCAUUGUUUUUACAUGAGA